This 74-nucleotide transfer RNA is filed under the name Saccoglossus kowalevskii. RNAcentral describes it as "tRNA-Thr". It matches the Rfam family "tRNA". From Rfam's summary of the family: Transfer RNA (tRNA) molecules are approximately 80 nucleotides in length. Lineage: Eukaryota; Metazoa; Hemichordata; Enteropneusta; Harrimaniidae. The record is from RNAcentral.
GGCGCCAUGGCUUUGUUGGUUAAAGCGCCUGUCUAGUAAACAGGGGAUCCUGCGUUCGAAUCUCAGUGGUGCCU